RNAcentral lists this unclassified non-coding RNA (314 nucleotides) under uncultured Thelephorales. RNAcentral describes it as "sequence contains ITS2". Lineage: Eukaryota; Fungi; Basidiomycota; Agaricomycetes; Thelephorales. The record is from RNAcentral.
AACGCACCUUGCGCCCUUUGGCUAUUCCGAAGGGCAUGCCUGUUUGAGUAUCAUGAACACCUCAACUCUCGUGGUUUGCCAUGAUGAGCUUGGACUUUGGGGGUCUUGCUGGCCUGUGGUCGGCUCCUCUCAAAUGGAUCAGCUUGCCAGUGUUUGGUGGCAUCACAGGUGUGAUAACUAUCUACGCUUGUGGUUUUCUACCAGAUAACCUUCAGUGAUGGAGGUUCACUGGAGCUCAUAAAUGUCUCUCCUCAGUGGAGACAGCUUUUUGAACAUUUGAUCUCAAAUCAGGUAGGACUACCCGCUGAACUUAA